CCAGCUCCCAAGAUUAGCGGCGGACGGGUGAGUAACACGUGGGCAACCUGCCUGUAAGACUGGGAUAACUUCGGGAAACCGGAGCUAAUACCGGAUAAUCCCUUUCCUCACAUGAGGAAAGGCUGAAAGACGGUUUCGGCUGUCACUUACAGAUGGGCCCGCGGCGCAUUAGCUAGUUGGUGAGGUAACGGCUCACCAAGGCCACGAUGCGUAGCCGACCUGAGAGGGUGAUCGGCCACACUGGGACUGAGACACGGCCCAGACUCCUACGGGAGGCAGCAGUAGGGAAUCUUCCGCAAUGGACGAAAGUCUGACGGAGCAACGCCGCGUGAGUGAUGAAGGUUUUCGGAUCGUAAAACUCUGUUGUUAGGGAAGAACAAGUAUCGGAGUAACUGCCGGUACCUUGACGGUACCUAACCAGAAAGCCACGGCUAACUACGUGCCAGCAGCCGCGGUAAUACGUAGUGGCAAGCGUUGUCCGGAAUUAUUGGGCGUAAAGCGCGCGCAGGUGGUUCCUUAAGUCUGAUGUGAAAGCCCACGGCUCACCGUGGAGGGUCAUUGGAAACUGGGGAACUUUGAGUGCAAAAAAGGAAAGUGGAAUUCCAAGUGUAACGGUGAAAUGCGUAAAGAUUUGGAGGAACACCAGUGGCGAAGGCGACUUUCUGGGCUGUAACUGAAACUGAGGGGCGAAAGCGUGGGGAGCGAACAGGAUUAAA
Molecule: ribosomal RNA, 716 nt
Filed under: Bacillus sp. 42ND20
Lineage: Bacteria; Bacillati; Bacillota; Bacilli; Caryophanales; Bacillaceae
Description: bacterial SSU rRNA
Rfam family: Bacterial small subunit ribosomal RNA
Source: RNAcentral